UACGGGGGGGGCAAGCGUUGUUCGGAAUUACUGGGCGUAAAGGGCUCGUAGGCGGUUUGUCACGUCGGGAGUGAAAACUCAGGGCUUAACCCUGAGCCUGCUUCCGAUACGGGCAGACUAGAGGUAUGCAGGGGAGAACGGAAUUCCUGGUGUAGCGGUGAAAUGCGCAGAUAUCAGGAGGAACACCGGUGGCGAAGGCGGUUCUCUGGGCAUUACCUGACGCUGAGGAGCGAAAGUGUGGGGAGCGAACAGG
Molecule: ribosomal RNA, 253 nt
Filed under: uncultured bacterium
Lineage: Bacteria
Description: partial 16S ribosomal RNA
Rfam family: Bacterial small subunit ribosomal RNA
Source: RNAcentral